CGGAGGGUGCAAGCGUUGUCCGGAUUUAUUGGGUUUAAAGGGUGCGUAGGCGGCAGAUUAAGUCAGCGGUGAAAUUCCACAGCUCAACUGUGGAACUGCCAUUGAUACUGGUUUGCUUGAGUACAGAUGAGGUAAGCGGAAUUGACAGUGUAGCGGUGAAAUGCUUAGAUAUUGUCAAGAACACCUAUUGCGAAGGCAGCUUACUAAGCUGUAACUGACGCUGAGGCACGAGAGCGUGGGGAUCAAACAGGAUUAGAUACCCUGGUAGUCCACGCUGUAAACGAUGAUUACUCGAUGUGUGCGAUAGACAGUACGCGUCCAAGCGAAAGCGUUAAGUAAUCCACCUGGGGAGUACGCCCGCAAGAGUG
RNAcentral lists this ribosomal RNA (368 nucleotides) under uncultured organism. RNAcentral describes it as "bacterial SSU rRNA". It matches the Rfam family "Bacterial small subunit ribosomal RNA", at positions 526 to 896 of the family's 1533-position model. The record is from RNAcentral.